GUGUAAAAUUAUUUCCUACAAAACUAAUAAUGCAACAUAAAUAGAAUAAUAAAUAAUUAACUUUAAUAUUUAUUUUCUUUACUAAUUUGAAAUCAUCCUGAAGAAAUUUACACGAAAAGGAAAGAUUGAUCAAAGAAUUCGUUCAACAACUCAAGAAAAUUAUCAAGGAUGUGCAUUUUGAUAGCCAGCGGAUACACAGAGCAAUUGAAAGCGUAGAGGAUCGACCAAAGCAGAAUUGGUACGAUACACCCUGCGGGUGGAACACCUACGACUCUGUGAUACGGCAGGCCACAAUUUUCAUGCCAAAUAUGUCAGUUAAAAUUACGGUUGUGCGUAGUUAUC
Long non-coding RNA from Frieseomelitta varia, 342 nucleotides. RefSeq lists it as uncharacterized. The record is from RefSeq and is a predicted model, not a curated record. The transcript has 3 exons. NCBI's taxonomy places the organism in Eukaryota, Metazoa, Arthropoda, Insecta, Hymenoptera, Apidae.